Molecule: non-coding RNA, 647 nt
Organism: Oxyura jamaicensis (ruddy duck)
Lineage: Eukaryota; Metazoa; Chordata; Aves; Anseriformes; Anatidae
Source: the annotation of a RefSeq genome assembly
UCCUUCUCCACCUGGAGGGCUUUAUAACGUUCCUGCCCCUUCUUCAAAUCCACAGUUCACCCAAGCAGGCAGAAUGCUGCUGCUGCCCAUCCUGCUUGCAGCUUCCAGUUGGUCCCGUGGAGACGCACAGCCAGUGCCAGUGCAAGACCCGCCGAUGCGGAGGCAGGUGAAGGGCAGCUCGGCCAGAAUGGACUGCCGGCUGGGCAGUGAUGCCAUCAUGCACUGGUACAAGCAGCUUCCCGGAGAGCCACUCAAGAGGAUACUGUACGUGUCAGGACAGACUCCUACAUUUGAUGACAGCACCGAUAGACGAAAGUAUCAAGUGAGGAAACAUGCCACUGAAUCUCUCUAUACUCUCACAAUAGAUUUCUUAACCCAGAGGGACACUGGCACAUACUACUGUGCGUAUUGGUAUUUAUAUCAAGGCAUCACAGUGUUAGACAGGCCAAGAUAAACCAUACAAAAAGGCACUUGGCACUCUGAACCACAAGCUCUGAACUCUGCCCAAAUGCAGAUACUUCCUCAUUCAGCCCUGCUCUCAUGAUUUUCUGCCACAGGAUAGGAAAAACAACAACAUAGUGUGACAACUGCUAAAUAGAGGACGUUAAUAUUUGGAUUAUUGUUUUCAGACUCACAUAUCUCUGUAA